UGAAUGACAUCUGAUGUUCAUUGUCUACAAUCACAUGCUGAGGGUGGCCAGUGAGAAGCUCUGUCACCUGGAUAGGGACCUCAGCAGACAGCUGCCCAGGACACCUAUGCGAACAUGGACGAGGAGGCCGCUAUUGGGAAAGACUUCUUCCAGUCUCCAAGGGGUGAUUCAAGGGGACAGGCGAUCGUCACUUCUGGAAGAUUUGUGCUCCAGAGCAGCGUCACGUGACUCCAGGUGGCAGGGAAAGAACUGGGAAGAGUUAGUCCUCGGGAGCUACCGGCCUGAGGUUCUCAUAAACAUCAAGGGACAACCUGUACCUUCUUAGCCUCCUCCAUGGCAAAUUUCCUUUAUCUUCAGAAUGAGAGAAUGAAAUCAACGUACAGAAAAACAAACUGAAGCUGGACAACGAUUCUUGGUGACAACACAAUCCCUGACUGCAGUUGCCCUGAACCUGCUCUGCACCUACCUUUCCUCGGGUUUUUGAAAAUUCCAGGAAGAUGCCUAACUAGCUUGGUUGGACGAUAGUCUUUGGAAACUAGGAUAGCAUUGACUAAUGCUGCAAUGAAGGACAAUCCGGUGCACGG
Molecule: long non-coding RNA, 584 nt
Organism: Prionailurus viverrinus (fishing cat)
Lineage: Eukaryota; Metazoa; Chordata; Mammalia; Carnivora; Felidae
Exons: 4
Source: RefSeq, a predicted model, not a curated record